UGGCGCGCAGGACGAAGCUCGCGGCGCGGGACCCGGAGGACGGUAUCCCGAGCCCACCGUGCUACGCAGCUAUUCCAAUCAAGUUCUCUGAAAAGCAACAGGCUUCUCACUACCUCUAUGUGAGAGCACACGGCAUUCAACAAGGCACCAAGUCCACCUGGCCUCAGAAGAGGACUCUUUUUGUCUUCAAUGUGCCCCCAUACUGCACAGAGCAGGAGAGCCUGUCCUGCCUCCAGUCCACCUGUGGCCUUGUCCAGUCUGUAGAGUUGAAGGAGAAGCUGGAGCUGGCUGGGAGUCAAGGUCGAAGUUUUUUCAUCCAAAGCCAGUUCCGCUUUCCCAGUGGCCCUGGAGCCCACACCUCCUCCCCACACAGUGGCAUCUGGCAUGGUGUGUGUGCCCAGGCCUGGCUUCCAAAAACCUGCCGUGGCCCAGGGCGACCCCUGCGUUUCACCGCAUCCCUCCCGUGACUGGAAGAAAGGAAGCCUCUGUAUCCUCUCUUCCUGGGGAGGAGUUGGGAACAGCUGUCACUUCGCGAAGAAGCAGGAUCACUGGAAGUGUGGCUGCCCCUGACCUGGAUUAUGGGAUGGCCUGUGGUUCUCUUCAUGGCUCAGGAAUAGCCUAGCACCGUCUCCCCUGGUGUAGCUACCACCUAGGCUGAGGGCAGGCCUGGAGACCUUGUGCCAGACGUGGGAAGGAGCCCCCAACCUCUGACAUCUCUCUCUCUUCAGG
RNAcentral lists this long non-coding RNA (729 nucleotides) under Homo sapiens (human). Its description in RNAcentral is "non-protein coding lnc-POLDIP3-1:2". The record is from RNAcentral. Lineage: Eukaryota; Metazoa; Chordata; Mammalia; Primates; Hominidae.